Molecule: long non-coding RNA, 324 nt
Organism: Oncorhynchus tshawytscha (Chinook salmon)
Lineage: Eukaryota; Metazoa; Chordata; Actinopteri; Salmoniformes; Salmonidae
Source: Ensembl
UUUAUGAAAUUACACUGAAUAUUACACUGAGGAUGGUCCUCCCCUUCCUCCACUCAGGAGCUUCCACUGGAUUCAGCAGUAGACUAGGUGGUGUGUGGGCCGAUUUAGCAGUAGGCUAGGUGGUGUGUGGGCCGAUUUAGCAGUAGGCUAGGUGGUGUGUGGGCCGAUUUAGCAGUAGGCUAGGUGGUGUGUGGGCCGAUUUAGCAGUAGGCUAGGUGGUGUGUGGGCCGAUUUAGCAGUAGGCUAGGUGGUGUGUGGGCCGAUUUAGCAGUAGGCUAGGUGGUGUGUGGGCUGAUUUAGCAGUAGGCUAGGUGGUGUUUGGGC